Molecule: transfer RNA, 65 nt
Filed under: Afissula sp. XL-2019
Lineage: Eukaryota; Metazoa; Arthropoda; Insecta; Coleoptera; Coccinellidae
Description: tRNA-Trp
Source: RNAcentral
AAGGAUUUAAGUUAAAUUUAAAACUAGUAACCUUCAAAGUUACCUAUAGAAAGCUCUAAGCCUUA